CUAAACCCCAGGACAGGAUGAACAUCUUGCUUAUCUGGGUUUUCAGAGCUCUUGCAGGAGGGGAGUUUUCCCCACCAUCAACUCAAGAGACAAGGCAGCAGCCACCUUGCCUCAGACCAGCUCAACUCAACAUGACCCAGUAUGCCAGAGCCACCACCUGCCACCAAGACACUGUCCUCUGCCAUGGAGGGUGGAUGUUCUUUUACAACCUAACUUUUGCAACCCUCAUGACAAGUUAUUGUCUGGAUUUGCUUCUCUUCCACAAUAUCCGGUGUUUCCACUGCAGUGUCUGCUUUGAAGUCACAGGCCAGACUUUCUAGCAAGUACCCUGCCACUUCCAAAC
Molecule: long non-coding RNA, 343 nt
Filed under: Cricetulus griseus (Chinese hamster)
Lineage: Eukaryota; Metazoa; Chordata; Mammalia; Rodentia; Cricetidae
Description: lncRNA (ENSCGRG00000025941.1)
Source: RNAcentral